Molecule: ribosomal RNA, 253 nt
Filed under: uncultured bacterium
Lineage: Bacteria
Description: partial 16S ribosomal RNA
Rfam family: Bacterial small subunit ribosomal RNA
Source: RNAcentral
UACGGAGGGAGCUAGCGUUGUUCGGAAUUACUGGGCGUAAAGGGCCAGUAGGCGGCCAACUAAGUCGGAUGUGAAAUCCCCAGGCUCAACUUGGGAACUGCAUCCGAUACUGGAUGGCUUGAAUUCGGGAGAGGGAUGCAGAAUUCCAGGUGUAGCGGUGAAAUGCGUAGAUAUCUGGAGGAAUACCGGUGGCGAAGGCGGCAUCCUGGACCGACAUUGACGCUGAACGGCGAAAGCUAGGGGAGCAAACGGG